Molecule: small RNA, 29 nt
Filed under: Arabidopsis thaliana (thale cress)
Lineage: Eukaryota; Viridiplantae; Streptophyta; Magnoliopsida; Brassicales; Brassicaceae
Description: ATSL304780
Source: RNAcentral
AGAAGAAGAAAAAAAAAAGGCAAAAAAAA